This 457-nucleotide ribosomal RNA is filed under the name uncultured bacterium. RNAcentral describes it as "partial 16S ribosomal RNA". It matches the Rfam family "Bacterial small subunit ribosomal RNA", at positions 29 to 507 of the family's 1533-position model. The record is from RNAcentral.
GUGAACGCUGGCGGCGUGCUUCAGACAUGCAAGUCGAACGGGCUCUUCGGAGCCAGUGGCGCACGGGUGAGUAACGCGUAACUGACCUACCCCAAAGUCGCGGAUAACGAUUCGAAAGAAUCGCUAAUACGUGAUGUGCUGUCAGAUCCUGUUCUGCCAGUAAAGAUUUAUUGCUUUGGGAUGGGGUUGCGUUCCAUCAGCUAGUUGGUGGGGUAAAGGCCCACUAAGGCGACGACGGAUCGCCGGCCUGAGAGGGUGGCCGGCCACAGGGGCACUGAGACACGGGUCCCACUCCUACGGGAGGCAGCAGUUAGGAAUCUUCCACAAUGGGCGAAAGCCUGAUGGAGCGACGCCGCGUGAGGGAUGAAGGUCUUCGGAUCGUAAACCGCUGAAUCAGGGACGAAAGACGCGAAAGCGGGAUGACGGUACCUGAGUAAUAGCACCGGCUAACUCCGUG